CUCCGCUGAAAGCCCUACUUAGCUUCAAUCGGCGGCUGGGAUAAGCCCUAUGCAUUUUACGUAGAACCUCUGCAUGCAUGCGUGAAUGAAAGUUUCAGCAAGGUGAUUCGCUUAAGCUGAGCGUUUAACCUUUUUAUGAUCAUGAGCGACGAGCGUCUGCACAGGGGCUCUCCAGAGUGCGUCGGCAAGCGCAGCCAUUGUGAUUCUACCGGUCGUUUUUUGUUCAAAAAUUU
Molecule: long non-coding RNA, 233 nt
Organism: Amphibalanus amphitrite
Lineage: Eukaryota; Metazoa; Arthropoda; Thecostraca; Balanomorpha; Balanidae
Exons: 2
Source: RefSeq, a predicted model, not a curated record